This is a long non-coding RNA of Halichondria panicea, 4687 nucleotides long. RefSeq lists it as uncharacterized. NCBI's taxonomy places the organism in Eukaryota, Metazoa, Porifera, Demospongiae, Suberitida, Halichondriidae. The transcript is spliced from 9 exons. The record is from RefSeq and is a predicted model, not a curated record.
UGUAGGCGCCUCGAAUCCACGCCGAUUAAAAUACGGCCUGGUGUUCAUUGCAUGGCACAUGCGCUGAACAAUUACCCAGAAUCUGGGUAAUUGUGCACGCCAGUAAAACUUUUAGUAAAUUAAUGUUACCGUAAACUAGCUUGUAAUACUUGGAAUUUUGGAAUUUGUUCCGUGUUACUGUUAUUGUUUGAAUAACAAUGGCAUUGAUGCGUUUUGUGAAGCUGUGGCUUAUGCUCUUCGUUGCGUUGGUCUGGAGGAUCUCACACUGAAGCCAAAGCAAAAGGAGGCUCUCAUCCACGGUCAUGAUGUCUUUGCUUGGUUCCCCACGGGCUAUGGCAAGUCUUUGUGCUUCCAACUGUUGCCCUUCAUGUUUGACUUCAAAACAAGCUCGAGCUCUGAGAGAAGUGUUGUGCUGGUGCUGUCACCACUACUGUGAUAGACCAGGUCUCAGGCCUCCGGAAGAGGGGUGUCUCUGCUGCUAUAUUGUCUGGCAACAAAGAUGUCGAGAAGGACCUCCUUGCUAGUGUGAGUGAGGGUCGGUUCUCCCUCCUCUAUAGUGCACUCGUGGAAGCAGCUCCUGGUCCAACGUCCCCUCUGUGACUCUGUAGUGGCAGUCGCUAUUGAUGAAGCACACUGUGUGUAUAAGUGGAGUAAAGACUUUCAACCUGCACCAAGAGGAUGAGGGACUAUGUUGUUCAGAACCUUGGCAUGGCAGGCUACUAUAUGGUGUCUGAGUCUCCCAACAAGUCUGUUAUGAGGCGGUCAGUCAGAAAGACAACAAUUGAGGAAGACUUUACAUUCGUUGUGGCAGACUUGUUGGACAACACUGUCAAGGCUCGACGUAUAGUUGUCUACUGCCAGUCACUGAACAUGUGCGCGAGUUUGUAUGAGCACUUCAAGUACACUCUGAAGGAUGCUGGCUACUACCCUCCAGGAGCUGAACAGAUCAGUGACAACACAAUGUUCGGAAUGUUUCACUCCUGUACUGACGAACACAACAAGGCAGUUAUAAUGGAGAGUCUUGGGAAGCCUGACGAUGUUGUCAGGAUUGUGUUUGCGACGAUGUAUAGGGGUGGACUUCAAGAACUUAGACUCCACUAUGGUGCCCCUAGGUCACUGGAAGACUACUUUCAAGAGAGCGGUUGAGCUAUAAUCAGCAGUUGUUGGCUAGAGUGUACUGGAGGCCAGUCGCUUAGCUGUCCCAGGGGAGGCUUUCUAUCGAUACGCCAUAAUGAGAUUUGUGAUAUGACUGCAACCGUAAUGAGCGAAGUCUGCCACAACGUGAAAAUAGAACCUGGAUUACAACCUGUAACUGGGGAGCAAUUCGAUCAAUUGGACAUUGUCGCACAAAGACAGAGUGCAUUCUUUGAUGUUAGGGUUUUUAACCCAUACGCACCUUGCUACCGCAACUCCACCCAGAAUGAGUUAGAGAAGAAGAGAUGUUAUGAAGAGCGCAUUAGAGAGAUAGAACACGGCUCGUUCACCCCACUGGUUCUGUCUGCUGCUGGAGGAAUUGGCCCAGCGGCAACCAUCGUAUACAAGAGGUUGGCAUCACUAAUUUCAGAGAAACAAGGAAGUUCUACCCCCCCAUUGGGUGAGAUGCAGAUUAAACUAAACUUCUCUCUACUAAGAUCGGCUGUAAUGUGCAUCCGUGGCUCCCGAUCUACCUUCGCUUCUGAAGUCAAUACAGAUUUUAUCGACCUGGCCGUCCACGAAGGCCAGGUGCAAUCUUUUUAACUAACCUUUUUUUAACUCAACCAUAUAAGAAUAAUUAGAUCUAAACAUAUAUAUAACCUAAACAUAUAUAUAACUUUCCUUUCCUGUAUUGUCACACGUACACAUGAUUAUUUGAAAAAAAAAAAAAAAAAAAGUUGAAGCUCCUGUACGGGCUGACCCAAGGAACUUGGAAUUGCAGGGACUAUCUUGAGAACACUGAGCUGUGCAGGAGAUUCAUGCUGUUGAAGUACUUCGAUCCCGUUGUUGCCAGGGACAUGAAGUCUCGGGACAAGAUGUUCUGCUGCGACAACUGUCGAUCCAUUGCUAAGUGAGGUGACUCGAUCUCAUUAUAAUGAAAAAUCUCUGUGUCUGGUAUAUUGUCAAGUCCAUACGAGGCACUGUACACGUCUGCAUCCUCAGUGUCGGAGUCAGUUCUCAUAGCAGUUUUGCUCAUUGUGUACUCUCUAGCUUUCCUCUUUUGUCUGUUUAAUUUAUUCAGGGGGUCUGGGGAGAACUUGAGGAACAUCCUAUGACAUCUGUUCACAGUCACCUUGAGGAUAUCAGCCACAGAGGGUGGAUGCCGGUCUGGUUAUCAAAACUGACGGAGAGUGCUCUUGCUGCCCAGGUACUGGCUGCUUUCGAAAAGUUCGCACCCAUGUUCGAGAUUAUAUCUUUGAACAGCUUGUUGAUGUGCUCGUUAUGGAGAUCACAUGGGACCGUGAGUAUUGACGAAGCGGCCCCAGGUCAGCUGAUGAGAGAGCAACUUGAAACUGCAGCCUCAGUGCCUCAAGUGCGUACUUUGUCUUCCUUUCAGAAUGGAAGUGGAGCAUCAUGAUCUUCCACAGUCGAAGUACACGCUCACCGUCUCCUUCCUUCCAGGCGUCCACAAACAGCAGUACCAAGGAGGCGAAAUGAUACAACACUCGAGCAUACCCGUACACAUGAUCUCCAUUGUCUACCACAGGUUCUCCAAGCAGCGCCUCAGGGAUCACUGUGAACUCCUUGACCACUUUCUCUCUUCAACAGAUCCUGGUUGACCUCCUUGUCCUUAAUCUCACUAUCAGGACCUAGUGUGCAUAAUGUUCUCAGUCAGCCCGCUGUCCCUUUGAACACAAUGAGCAGAGAUUCAUCCUUCGGCUUCUUAGCUUUCGAGCGUCCAAUACGUGCGAAGAUACUAUUGAGACGUCUUCUUGACUGGCCUUGUACAAGAUGACAAAUUGCCAGUCCUCAAUACACGGCUCGAGAUUAUCAAUGCGACCUCCUGGACUAUUUGAGCACUGCACAUAUUUGAGCACUGCACAUGACGUUUAGCACACUGCUCUCGCUCACAUGUCAUGUGAGGUGAUCACCCCCAGUCAGUGCUGUGUGCUUGUAGUCGGACCCCAGCUCCGACUUUGCUGCCAUCUCUUCAUUGUAGGUGUGGUGACCAGCCCCUUGAUAUAAUCACACAGGAUUCUACUCACUAACACCUCAAGGUCUCCCUGGAUGACAGUGAUAUCUUCCUUGGUUGGUAGGAAGCUGUGUCUGUGCAGAGCGUAGGACGGGAGAAGUCAGAGACAGGAAAAGGAGACCUUCUUCUGGAUGUGGGUAGAAAAGAGGGCACACGAGAGAUAGGAUUGAAUCCCACACACACACAUCACCCUGUUACGCUCUGAUGGCCACUGCUGUAAACAGUCCUGGGAACUGCCGAUCUCCUUCUUGUUCCUCUUGGACGAGUUGGUGACAAGCACAACGUAGAAUCUCCUAGAGAGUAGGAGCCUUGGUCUCAAGCUCGGAGAUUGCUUGUGUCCACGCGAACCUCUCAGCCUGCUCAAGGGUCAUGGACCGAAACAGUGACACUGGCUGGGUGCACAACACACUAACACUCAUCAUUUAUGAUCCUUGAUACCCGAGCCACAAUAUCAUUACUGAGACAAGGAGUAGAGACCUGCAAAUGGAUUGAAGAUUUCCCCCAGCAAGUGCCUUUGCGAUCUUUUCCAGGUCAGGACUCAGGACUAACGACUACUGUACACUUACUUGGUAUAGAGCAGUCUCAAUAGAAGUUGCUUGAGUAACGUUGCUCCGAUCCCUCAGCGGCACAUCUCGUUUGCAGACUAACAUAUUACAGUAAUUUUAGAAACUCGUAAUUUUUAUCUUACUCUUGUCCUAGACGGGGAAACAGAGUCGCCUUCCAGCGGAUCCAGCGGAUCCAACGGGCUGAUGGUCUUGCUACGUGUGUGUGUGGAGACCCCACUAGUGUCUUUGAACUUGUUGGGCUGCCAGUGACAGGCCUGGGUAGAAGUGCCCUUCUCUUCUCAUAGCUAGCCUUGGCUAGAACUCUAAAUGACUCUGCUGACAGAAACUUUCUGUUGCAAGGCCUGCAAAUAUGGUGGGAGAGACGGAGUUAUUGGAACCUCUGUGAUUUUGCUGAGCCUCUCUGCAAGAUCUGAGGAAGGGCAUCCUUUGGGGAACACUGCAAUGUAAUGAGAGAAACUGCAGCAAGUCCUGCAGGAUAAGCCUAAGGAUUCUACGGUAGCCAUCUCUCAGUUGUUUAACCACUGUAUUUUUCCUACGAACCAUGCGGUAUAACAACACAGUGGCGGAUCCAGAGGAGGGUCCCCCCUUUUGAAGUUAACUUUAGAAGACACCAGCUAGCUAUUUAUCAGUUUUUGUAGCUAUUGUAAUUUGAUUCAAUGAUUGUACCUGUUGUUUUGAUGCAUCAACUGCUGCCAAAGGAGUGUUCAGGUUAGCUAGCCUAGGCUAGCUACAGUGGUUUGCAGAACAGCAGUAGGCGGUGGCUCUUAAGUGUUUUGUGGUUUUGUGGUUGUAAGCAUACAGUAGUAUUCACUAUUACAGUCAUGCCCAUCAAUUCAGGCCGCUUUUUCACUAAAUUCAAAAUAGUGGGAAAUUUGAAAUUGAGCUACUCUUCAGUGCUGCUUAUAAGGAAGAUGCCUUUGGCGAGGCCUAGCUGCAUCUGAGGACUUUCUUGGCC